This 259-nucleotide long non-coding RNA is filed under the name Homo sapiens (human). Its description in RNAcentral is "non-protein coding lnc-DGCR2-2:1". The record is from RNAcentral. Lineage: Eukaryota; Metazoa; Chordata; Mammalia; Primates; Hominidae.
GGCAACUCAGAUUGCACUGAAUAGCAGAGUAUUUAGAAAUGAAGGGAGCUGGGUCCUCAGGAUGUGUAGCAGCAUACAUUGUGGAAAGGUGAAAAGGUUACAUGUAAAAACAAUAACCCUUCCCAUAGCUUCAGCAGGCUCCAGGUGCCGCAGCCCUGACUCCUCAGGGCCCACCCCUGCUGUGUCCACACAAAUGCCCCCAGGAAGCUGACACUUCCCCGCAGCCUGUUCCUGCAGUCCCUGCCUUGGUUCUUAGCUG